RNAcentral lists this ribosomal RNA (460 nucleotides) under uncultured bacterium. RNAcentral describes it as "partial 16S ribosomal RNA". It matches the Rfam family "Bacterial small subunit ribosomal RNA", at positions 338 to 795 of the family's 1533-position model. The record is from RNAcentral.
CCUACGGGAGGCAGCAGUGAGGAAUAUUGGUCAAUGGACGCGAGCCUGAACCAGCCAAGUAGCGUGAAGGAUGACUGCCCUACGGGUUGUAAACUUCUUUUAUAAAGGAAUAAAGUGAGGCACGUGUGCCUUUUUGUAUGUACUUUAUGAAUAAGGAUCGGCUAACUCCGUGCCAGCAGCCGCGGUAAUACGGAGGAUCCGAGCGUUAUCCGGAUUUAUUGGGUUUAAAGGGAGCGUAGAUGGGUUGUUAAGUUAGCUGGGAAAGUGGGCGGCUCAACCGUAAAAUUGCAAGUGAUACUGGUAGGCGUGAGUACAGUUGAGGUAGGCGGAAUGCGUGGUGUAGCGGUGAAAUGCUGAGAUAUCACGAAGAACUCCGAUUGCGAAGGCAGCUUACUAAGCUGCCACUGACAAUGAUGCUCGAAAGUGUGGGUAUCAAACAGGAUUAGAUACCCUAGUAGUC